UAAGCCCAGGGAAAAGCUUAAAUUGUGGUUC
This 31-nucleotide non-coding RNA is filed under the name Homo sapiens (human). Lineage: Eukaryota; Metazoa; Chordata; Mammalia; Primates; Hominidae. The record is from RNAcentral.